CAGAAAGACGAACAGCAAGAACAAAAAAGAGACGAGGCUCUCUUUAGACGUUACGUUGAGUCUGACAUCAUGGGAGCUCCGCGAGCUUAAAAGAGACGGUAAAAACACAACGGGAGAAUCACAGAAAGGCUCUCAGUGUGGAAUGAUAACGACUAACUAACGGCGUCUCCUGUCAGCUCCUCUUCCCGCCGCUCAAGGCAGCAGCAGUCACGUGACAGCAGCGAGGGCUCACAGACCGAGAACGCGCUUCAUUCGCCAUACUGUGUUUUGUGCCAUAACGCAUUUUUAUCGCAACAUUUUACUCCCUCUCGGAGAAUAAUGACCGGCAAGACUCAGACCAGCAAUGUCACUAACAAGAACGACCCGCGCUCCCUCAACUCUCGGGUCUUUAUCGGCAACCUCAACACCGCCAUCGUGAAGAAGAGCGACAUCGAGGUCAUCUUCGCCAAGUACGGCAAGAUCGUGGGCUGUUCGGUGCACAAGGGUUACGCUUUCGUCCAGUACAUUAGCGAAAGGAACGCACGGGCCGCCGUAGCUGGAGAAAACGCCAGGAUAAUCGCAGGACAGCCGCUGG
RNAcentral lists this long non-coding RNA (574 nucleotides) under Danio rerio (zebrafish). Its description in RNAcentral is "lncRNA si:ch211-287i21.1 (ENSDARG00000089193.4)". The record is from RNAcentral. Lineage: Eukaryota; Metazoa; Chordata; Actinopteri; Cypriniformes; Danionidae.